GCAGGAGGAGCAAGAUGAAGUCACAGACCCAGGUCCUCAUAUCCCUGCUGCUUUGGGUGUCUGGUGCCUGUGCAGACAUCGUGAUGACUCAGUCUCCAUCCUCCCUGGCUGUGUCAGCAGGAGAAAAGGUCUCCAUCAGCUGCAGGUCCAGUCAGAGCCUUUAUCACAGCAGUAGCAAAAAGAACUUAUUGGCCUGGUACCAGCAGAAACCAGGCCAAUCCCCUAAGCUGCUGAUCUACCAUGCAUCCACUCGGUACACUGGGGUCCCUGAUCGCUUCACAGGCAGUGGAUCUGGGACAGAUUACACUCUCAGCAUUAGCAGUGUGCAGGAUGAAGACCUGGCAAUUUAUUACUGUCAGCAGGGUAUUAGUGAUCCUCCCACAGUGCUUCAGCCUCCAACAGAAACCUCCUUGACCAUGUCACUAACUGCCUGCAGCACACACAGUCCUGGCCCAGCACACUUCCCCUUCUGUGUGAUAGAGGGUGUGCCUGAAAACAUGAUGAAAAAGGUUGCAGAGCCCAGUGCAAAUUAUGGGUUCAGUGUCUCUUUGGUCUUUUGGUAUGAAAAUCCUUUAAAUGAAAAUACAAAAAGAACUCAGGAUUAUCAUUCACUUCUUUCUGUUGAAUUUGGAGGACAUAAAGGAGGCCUUCAGAUUACUGUAAGAAAUCUGGAAGCUGAUGUAGAUGUUUUUAAAGAAAAAACUGCUAUUGGAACACAAGAAGUGUGA
Meriones unguiculatus (Mongolian gerbil) is the source of this 728-nucleotide non-coding RNA. The record is from the annotation of a RefSeq genome assembly. NCBI's taxonomy places the organism in Eukaryota, Metazoa, Chordata, Mammalia, Rodentia, Muridae.